Molecule: ribosomal RNA, 466 nt
Filed under: uncultured bacterium
Lineage: Bacteria
Description: partial 16S ribosomal RNA
Rfam family: Bacterial small subunit ribosomal RNA
Source: RNAcentral
GAUGAACGCUGGCGGCGUGCUUAACACAUGCAAGUCGAACGGAAAGGCCCAAGCUUGCUUGGGUACUCGAGUGGCGAACGGGUGAGUAACACGUGGGUGAUCUGCCCUGCACUUCGGGAUAAGCCUGGGAAACUGGGUCUAAUACCGGAUAGGACCACAUUUUGGAUGGUGUGGUGGAAAGUUUUUCGGUGUGGGAUGAGCUCGCGGCCUAUCAGCUUGUUGGUGGGGUAAUGGCCUACCAAGGCGUCGACGGGUAGCCGGCCUGAGAGGGUGUACGGCCACAUUGGGACUGAGAGACGGCCCAGACGCCUACGGGAGGCAGCAGUGGGGAAUAUUGCACAAUGGGCGCAAGCCUGAUGCAGCGACGCCGCGUGGGGGAUGACGGCCUUCGGGUUGUAAACUCCUUUCGCUAGGGACGAAGCGUUAUGUGACGGUACCUGGAGAAGAAGCACCGGCUAACUACGUG